This 507-nucleotide ribosomal RNA is filed under the name uncultured bacterium. RNAcentral describes it as "partial 16S ribosomal RNA". It matches the Rfam family "Bacterial small subunit ribosomal RNA", at positions 28 to 507 of the family's 1533-position model. The record is from RNAcentral.
GACGAACGCUGGCGGCGUGCUUAACACAUGCAAGUCGAACGGGCCUUGUCCCCUUUUUUUUGGGGGUGGGGUUAGUGGCGAACGGGUGAGUAACACGUGAGUAACCUGCCCCUCACUUCUGGAUAACCGCUUGAAAGGGUGGCUAAUACGGGGUGUUCUGGCCUGCUCGCAUGGGUGGGUUUGGAAAGAUUCGACCGGUUUUGGUUGUUUUGGUGGGGGAUGGGCUCGCGGCCUAUCAGCUUGUUGGUGGGGUGAUGGCCUGCCAAGGCUUUGACGGGUAGCCGGCCUGAGAGGGUGGGCGGUCACACUGGGACUGAGACACGGCCCAGACUCCUACGGGAGGCAGCAGUGGGGAAUAUUGCACAAUGGACGCAAGCCGGAUGCAGCGACGCCGCGUGAGGGAUGGAGGCCUUCGGGUUGUGAACCUCUUUCGCCAGUGAAGAAGGUCCUGCUCUUUGUGGUGGGGUUGACGGUAGCUGGGUUAAUGAAGCGCCGGCUAACUACGUG